GUCGUGUUAGUACAAAUUGUGUAGAUAUAAAUACAAGCAUACAUCGUGUCGAAAACAAUUGGAAUCCCUAGAACCUUUUCAGAGAAGCAAGUAGUGUCUAUCCGGUAAACAUUGAAAUUUCAUAACCACAAAUACCUGUUAAUUAAUGUUUAAUGGAAUAACAAGAUUACUGUGAAUGACUAUCUAAAUAAAGGCAACAGUAGUAUUCCGCUGAUCAAAAGUAAAAAAUCGAUUGAGUAAAAACAAAUCCAGAUUGCAAACUAAAACCGAGCGAAAUAACCGGAACGAGAAGAACACUGAAGUGCAACAAAAAUAAACGCUAAUGGUACUAAAUUAAUCGUAUAAAGCAACUGUCUAUAAUGUUAUGUUCUUGUGCAAAAGAAUCACCAGUGCAAUUCGAAAAAAAAAGUUAAAAUGGUCAAAAAGAGUACGAAGUUGGGGAGCAUUUAGGACUCUAAUUUAGGAAUAAUUUUGUGUAAUACCGCUAAAAUAAUCUAUUACUAGGGCAGACAAUUUCAAUUCGUUUCAACCCAGGAGAGCAGACUACCAGGC
Molecule: long non-coding RNA, 552 nt
Filed under: Mytilus galloprovincialis (Mediterranean mussel)
Lineage: Eukaryota; Metazoa; Mollusca; Bivalvia; Mytilida; Mytilidae
Source: RNAcentral